UACAGAGGCCCCAAGCGUUACCCGGAAUCACUGGGCGUAAAGGAUGCGUAGGUGGUUGUGUUAGUCGUUUGUGAAAUCCUUCGGCUCAACCGAAGGAAUGCCAGGCGAAACGGCACAACUAGAGGACGUAAGAGGUAUGCGGAACUCACGGUGUAGGGGUAAAAUCCGUUGAUAUCGUGGGGAACACCAUAGGCGAAGGCGGCAUACUGGGACGUUCCUGACACUGAGGCAUGAAAGCGUAGGUAGCGAACGGG
This 254-nucleotide unclassified non-coding RNA is filed under the name uncultured Parcubacteria group bacterium. RNAcentral's name for it is "contains 16S-23S intergenic spacer region". It matches the Rfam family "Bacterial small subunit ribosomal RNA", at positions 524 to 776 of the family's 1533-position model. The record is from RNAcentral.